Long non-coding RNA from Mobula hypostoma (lesser devil ray), 239 nucleotides. RefSeq lists it as uncharacterized. The record is from RefSeq and is a predicted model, not a curated record. NCBI's taxonomy places the organism in Eukaryota, Metazoa, Chordata, Chondrichthyes, Myliobatiformes, Myliobatidae. The transcript is spliced from 3 exons.
UUUGUCACAAGCCAUGGCCUUCAGAUCAGAUGAGGUGCAUUGAAAAUAAUACUUGCAGCAGGAUCAGAGCCAGAGGACCAUAAAAGCAACGUUCACAAGGAAAAGAUUCUCUGAUUUCUUUCAUGUCCAAUAAUCCAUUGACCUCACUCCUGAAAGCAAAGGAUUCUAAAGACACCUUGCUCUGUAUGUCAAUAAAUUCCUCCUCAACCAAGACCUAAAUAGCCAGUUCCUUAACCAUC